GAUGAACGCUGGCGGCGUGCCUAAUACAUGCAAGUCGAGCGAACAGAUGAGGAGCUUGCUCCUCUGACGUUAGCGGCGGACGGGUGAGUAACACGUGGAUAACCUACCUAUAAGACUGGGAUAACUUCGGGAAACCGGGGCUAAUACCGGAUAAUAUAUUGAACCGCAUGGUUCAAUAGUGAAAGAUGGUUUUACUAUCACUUAUAGAUGGAUCCGCGCCGGAUUAGCUAGUUGGUAAGGUAACGGCUUACCAAGGCAACGAUACGUAGCCGACCUGAGAGGGGGGACCGGCCAAACGGAAACGGAGAAAGGGUCCAGAUCCCAAGGGGAGGCAGCGGAGGGAAAUUUUCGGAAAUGGGGGAAGGCUGAACGAGGAAACGCCGGGGGAGGAAUGAGGGUCUUCGAACCGUAAAACUUUGUAGUAAGGAAGAAAAAAUGGGGAAGGAACCAGGGAAGGCUUGAAGGUAACUAAUCAGAAAGGCAAGGCUAAAUUAGUG
RNAcentral lists this ribosomal RNA (497 nucleotides) under uncultured bacterium. RNAcentral describes it as "partial 16S ribosomal RNA". It matches the Rfam family "Bacterial small subunit ribosomal RNA", at positions 28 to 507 of the family's 1533-position model. The record is from RNAcentral.